CCGCAGGAAACUAAAGCCAAACAAAAAAAACCUGGCAAACUGAGCACUCAUGGAGAUACUGACUUCUCAACCAACACAUAUGGAACCAGUGUUUGGGGCGGCUCUUCUUCAAAAGCUGCUAGCACAGUGAACCCAGGGGGGACAGGAAAGAGCUCACUGGUCAGUGUCACAGACUGGGAUGAUGACGAUGAUGAACUUGGCCUGGAUGACCUCUGACCUUCAUGCAGUUGACCCUUGACCUUCAUGCACAUGACCUCUGACCUUCAUAUGGUCGGCCCUUGACCUUCAUGCAGCCAAAUUCUGAUUUUGAAGAGAUCCAAAUGAACAACAUGACUUCUUAUAAGUGGCUAAAUACUAUUUGACCACUAAAUGGACAUUUUGGAUCAAAAGAGGCCAAGUCUGUGAGGUUAGGGAUUUUACUGCACCAAAUGUCAGUUUAAUUGAAGCUGUGCCAAAGAAAUUUUGUAAAUCGUGGAAACUGCUGAGACUGAAGGGCAAAGUUAAAGUUUCUGUAAAUCUUAGAAAGCUUUAAAGUGCUGUAAGUAUGUUUUACUAUACAUGUGAAGAUAUGCAGACCCAUCAAGUCUCAUCUUUGAGGGGACAUCACUGUUUGCUUGAAUAAAAAAGGGCCUCUCUUUCAACUUUUAAUAAUAAGAUUUGCUGUGGGAAGGAAAUCUG
Lingula anatina is the source of this 678-nucleotide long non-coding RNA. NCBI's taxonomy places the organism in Eukaryota, Metazoa, Brachiopoda, Lingulata, Lingulida, Lingulidae. The record is from RefSeq and is a predicted model, not a curated record.